RNAcentral lists this long non-coding RNA (5153 nucleotides) under Canis lupus familiaris (dog). Its description in RNAcentral is "lncRNA (ENSCAFG00000055287.1)". The record is from RNAcentral. Lineage: Eukaryota; Metazoa; Chordata; Mammalia; Carnivora; Canidae.
UUUUUUUUUUUUUUUUUUUUUUUAAUAGCUAGGUCUUCUAAUCACCAGGAUUUGGGAGCCAGUGCCCCCAGCAGGGAGGGACUCUUGAAUAGGUGUACUGUACUGUGAGGGACAGCUCUGUCCAUUACUCUGCCUCUCCUCCAUCUCACCUUUAUUUUGGCUUUUCCCUAAAAGGAUCAGACUCUGUCCAGUUGCCCUGCUUGGACCCCCUAGCCUUGUCUAGGACUAAAACUCUGCUGUCAACCCCUCACCAGGGGCUGGGACUUUUGCUUUCCAGCCUCUCUCAGGCCAGGUCCCUUCUCUGAUACCAGAGAUUCCUCCCACCCGCCCACCCAUUCCCCCUACUAGAGACUUUUCUUACAUCUAGGCUUUGGUAGGUAGGGUCUUACCCAUGCACAGAUCUCCCAGUUGUUGAACACACUGAACUCUCCCUGCUACUCUUUGGGCGAAUUGGAUGUCAUGCUAGUCUUCUCAGCUGUACUUCUGGAACAAGCUUCUUAGCUUAGUUGGGCCCUGUCCUGAAUUUCAUGCUAGUUCUCCAACUGCCUCUGCCUCAAAAACAGCUUUUAAUAUGCAUUUGUAAAGCUUCAAAAGAGAGAUAGAGAAUAUAACCUUUUCCAAACUUAGUUAACUAGAGAAUAUUUAUUUAUUUAACGAGCAUGUGUGAAAGCACAAGCAGGGGAAGUGGCACGCAGAGGGAGGGGAGAAGUGGGUUCCCUGCUUGUGGGGAGGGACCCAUGGGAUCAUGACCUGAGCUGGAGGCAGACAAUCACCCAGGUGUCCUGAGAACCAUUAUUUUUUUUUGAAGUGAUAUUAAAAUCUCAUGGAGUAUGGUGUUUGGUGCAGCACAGUUUUGGAAAGUAUGAGGCUUUAUCCUAAAGGAGUAGAUCUCAAACUGAGGAAUUCCAGGUGAAGGUAAUGUGACAGUCAGUGAAAAAACAUUAUUUGGGGGUAGGAAAUCUCUCUUGGUCCUCUUCAUUCAGCACAUGCCUACUGAGCACCUAGUAUUUACCAGUCUUUCUGCUGGAAUCACAUCAUGUGUUUGACUACUUAACUGUAUGGCAUCUGUGUAAGGACAGCUGUGAUCUGGAGUGUAUGUGUAAGGUGGGGAGGAGGUAGGGAUUCUACAUUCUUUCUCCUACAUUUGGAUCUUCUUCCUCUUUCUUCCAGUUAAAACAGGAAGAAAGGAAGUACUGAGUAGGGUGAUGUCAUCAGCUUCUGGAUCCAAGGAAGGCUUCUCUGAGGCUUCUUUCCCCAGGUUUGACCUCUUCUAGGAUUUCUCCAGCACUCCUGAGCACCCCUUCCGUCUCACUCUGGGAGUAAUCAUCUCAGCAUCAGUUUCAAGUCUUAUUGCUAGUUCAGGAUUUUGACUUCACAUACGAGAUCAGUGCUAACUGGGAUGGAGCUCAUUUUUUAUGGAAUGAUUAUGACAUUGUAAACUUUGUACUUUCCCUAUGAAAUCCCUCUCUUAUAGCUCAGGGGUAGUCUAGAUGAUUACUUUUUUCAACUUUUCAGUGGAGAUAAAUGCAUGCACGGUAGGCAGGGCAGUCUUGUGGGUGGAGAGCAUUUAAAUCUGACAGUGGGGUUGACCAGGUGCCUGGAGCUCUAGCUGGCAGAACUGGUAACCAACCAAAGAGGAAACUAGUUAUUUCCUUUGUAUGCCAUUCUCUACUGGGACAGCCUGGAAAAGACCACUUGAAGCAGACAGAAAUCUCCAACUAAGACUUCUGAUUAAGAAAUUUUAGGUCCUUUUGAGAUCCUGGUGUAUGUAUGUGUCUUUACUAUCAUGAGUGAGAUCUUUGGUUGGCCAGUCUUUAACAGAGUUGGAUGACCUAAUCAUGAAACAAACUAUAUACAAAGGUUUAGCUUUGAUCUCACGCUUAGAUAUGAUGUUCAUCCAACAGUUAGCAUCUUCUACCCAUAGGCCCCACCCUAGGGGCCUUGGUCUAGGGUUCCUGUCCAUUUCUGCCACUUCCUCUGAAAUGCUAUGUUUUUUUUUUUUUUUUUAAGAUUUUAUUUAUUUAUUCAUGAGAGAGAGAGGCAGAGACACAGGCAGAGGGAGAAGCAGGCUCUCCGUGGGGAGCCCAAUGCAGGACUCAAUCCUGGGACUCGAUCCUAGGACUCCAGGAUCACACCCUGGGCCGAAGGCAGGCGCUAAACCACUGAGCCCCCCCACCCUACCCCACCCCCAGGAUCCCCUGAAAUGCUAUGGUUUUAACUGAAGAUCAGAGAGUGAGCUCACAGGAAUGUCAGAAGAGGGCUUGUAAUAGUCAUUUAGAGAUCUUCAGUAGAGCCAGUUAUUUGGUCCUUCUGUAGGUAUUUAUAAGUAUUGGCAUAUAAAACUAUAUGUAUGCUGUAGCUGUGAUAGCUGUAUAUGUAGCUAUAAGUGUGAUAACUGUAACUUUCUAUAAUCCUCCAGGGUCAUUAGUAGUCUUGCUUCUGCAUCAUUGUCUUCCCUGUUUUCCCACCAGGAAUUAAGUAGGCUCUGAAUGUAAUGUAAGAUGUUUAGAAUGUCCCUUCCUCCCUCCCUCCCUGUCUCACUUGUGCAUGUGCUCACUCUCUCUUUCUCUCUCGCUGGGGUCCUUGUCUGCAAGGCAUCUCUAGUUGAACUUAGUAGAGAAGUUAACAAAUAGGAAAAAAAAGGACAAGUAAAGGUUACACCGAGGUUCAGAUUCUAGGUAAAAUGGAAGUUUUGGAAAGGGAUCACCUGAGAGCUAAAACCUUGGAGAAAGUUUCAUGGAAGAGAUGAUUGUUGACUAAGGACACACUAAGUAAGGUAGGGACUGGAACACCCCGAUGGGAGCAUGUGGAGUGGGGAAGGAAUGGAGUAAAAUCCUCAGAUUAUUUCUUGUGCAAGCAGAGUAACUAGUACCUCCCCCACUGGUCUCUUCUGUAAAUCACCACUGAACCUCAUGUAGUUUGGUCCUUUUUAAAGAUUUACUUAUUUAUUUAUUUACUCAUUCAUUCAUUCAUUCAUUCGAGACACAGAGAAAAAGGCAGAGACACAGGCAGAGGGAAAAGCAUACAUCCUGCACGGAGCCUGAUGCAGGACUUGAUCCCCAGACCCCAGGAUCAUGACAUGAGCCAAAGGCUCAACUACUGAGCCACCAGGUGUCCCAAGUUUGGUCCUUUUUAAAAGCUUCUGAAGAUUGAGUAUCUUAAUGUAACCCAUUAGUUAGCUGGAACCAUCUUUUCCCCUAAAAAUUUGGCUCAAAGUGUCAUUCUACAGAUUGUAGAGUCUGAUUCCUUCACCCAGAUUCUUCAAAUUCCUAGGAGCUCAUGUAUUUACGGUCAUUCUAAUUUUGAGCUCUUGCUUCCACUAAAUUAGUUCAGAUUAUAGAUGGUCUUACUGUCUCAAGCAUGCUGUCUCUGUUUCCAUCCACAUUCACCCAGAUGUAGAGCUCAAAUAUCUCCCAGCUAAAGCCUGUAUGUGUGUAGCAGACUUUAUUAAAGAUUUAGGAUAAUGGAGAGUGUUUUACAUUGCCGGAAAGCAGCAACUUGAAUUCUAAUACUGGCUAUCCCUAUCCCUUAAAGUAUUUUUUUGUCUAUAUCUCCAUUAGAGAUUCAUCACUAUGUAUAUCACCCAUGUACCUAGGGCUUUGGUCUCUUAUAAUCAUUCCUCUGCAAACUUUCCUAACUCUGUUGCCACUAAAUAUUCCCGAUACUACUUCCUCUGUUAUGCAAAGCAAUUGAAUUCUACUCUGUCUUCCAAACUUACUUCCAUAUGUCCAAAGCCCACUGAAAUGGUUCUGCUGAGUAAAAAUUCAUCCACUUUAGCCACACAAAGUAUUUUUAGAACCUCUGAUGUGUUCUUUUAUGUUAUUUCUCUCCUUUGAAAGCAUUUCUUGUGUGGGGCACCUGGGUGGCACAGUCAGUUAAGUAUCUGACUCUUGGUUUCAGCUCAGGUCAAGAUUGCAGGUCAUGAUCUCAGGGUUGUGAGACUGAGUCCUGUGUCAGGCUCCAUGCUCAAUGUGAAGUCUGCUUGAAAUUCUUUCUCCUCCCACUCCCCCUCCUGCUCACUCUCUUUCUCUAAAACAUAAAUAAAUAUUUUUUAAAAAACAUUUCUUGUUUUAAAUAGCAUUUACUAUUUCUUUUUUUUCUUUCUUUCUUUUUUUUUUUUUACUAUUUCUUUUUUUAAAGUUAACUCUACACCCAAUGUGGGGCUUGAACUCAUGACCCUGAGAUUAGGAGUUGCAUGCUCUGCCAACUGAGCCACCCAGGCACCCCAGCAUUUACUACUACUUUUUUUUUAAAUUUAAAUUAAUUUUUUUUUUUUUUUUUAGCAUUUACUACUUACCUCAGAAAUGGUUUUGCUUUGAAGAAUCUGUGGAGGGAAGGUAAGAGGAUGUUCCAGGCUAGGAGAACAAUGUGUAUAUAGGCAGCAGUCUGCAUAAAACCUAUUGUGGGCAAUGAAAAAAAAUAUUCUAUCUGGAAAUAAGAAUUUUUGUUGGUGAGCAGAGCUCAAGAUUGAUUAGAAAGUCCAGAAACAGAUCUAACUUUUAGUGGAAAGCAUAGUGUUGGGGUUUGUUUCUUUCUUUCUUUCUUUUUCUUUCUUUCUUUCUUUUUUUUUUUUAAAGAUAUUACUUAUUCAUGAGAGACACAGAGAGGCAGAGACACAGGCAGAGGGAGAAGCAAGCUCCCUAUGGCGGGCCUGAUGUGGGGCUCAAUCCUGGAACCCCAGGGUCAUGCCCUGAGCUGAAGGCAGACGCUCCACCACUGAGCCACCCAGGCGUCCCAAGGAUAGUGUUUAGAAUGAAUGUCUUAACUAAUUAAAAAAAAAAAAUUCCUGUUACCUUCUAGCAAAAUAUAUUAUAGAUGGAUUAAAGGUUUUUAAUAUAAAAACUAAAAUAAUAAGUAUACUAAAAAAAGUUAUUUUCUUUUUUUUUUUUUAAACAUUUUGUUUCUUUUUUUUUUUUUUUAAUUUUUAUUUACUUAUGAUAGGCACACAGUGAGAGAGAGAGAGAGGCAGAGACACAGGCAGAGGGAGAAGCAGGCUCCAUGCACCAGGAGCCCGACGUGAGAUUCGAUCCCGGGUCUCCAGGAUCGCGCCCUGGGCCAAAGGCAGGCGCUAAACCGCUACGCCACCCAGGGAUCCCAAAAAGUUAUUUUCUUUUUAAAAAAUUCUUAUUAGAGAGAGCAUGAAGGGGGAGAGG